ACACGAUCAACUCUAGUUAAGAGUUGGUAUUGACCUCAUAUACCGUAGUGUGUAUUUGGUUUGAAUGUAUCAAGUUGAUGAGCUUCCCAAUGUUGCUCAAUGUGUGCUAGCGAGACAGUCGUCCCGAUCUCACAUUCCUGCUUCAUUGCAGGCUCUAUAAACAACUUUUAUUAGUCUCAUAUCAU
Molecule: unclassified non-coding RNA, 185 nt
Filed under: uncultured Rozellomycota
Lineage: Eukaryota; Fungi; Rozellomycota
Description: uncultured Cryptomycota sequence contains ITS2
Source: RNAcentral